This 465-nucleotide ribosomal RNA is filed under the name uncultured bacterium. RNAcentral describes it as "bacterial SSU rRNA". It matches the Rfam family "Bacterial small subunit ribosomal RNA", at positions 335 to 792 of the family's 1533-position model. The record is from RNAcentral.
ACUCCUACGGGAGGCAGCAGUGGGGAAUAUUGCACAAUGGGCGCAAGCCUGAUGCAGCCAUGCCGCGUGUGUGAAGAAGGCCUUCGGGUUGUAAAGCACUUUCAGUAGGGAGGAAGGUAGUGUAGUUAACACCUGCAUUAUUUGACGUUACCUACAGAAGAAGCACCGGCUAACUCCGUGCCAGCAGCCGCGGUAAUACGGAGGGUGCGAGCGUUAAUCGGAAUUACUGGGCGUAAAGCGCAUGCAGGCGGCCUGUUAAGUCAGAUGUGAAAGCCCGGGGCUUAACCUCGGAAUUGCAUUUGAAACUGGCAGGCUAGAGUCUUGUAGAGGGGGGUAGAAUUUCAGGUGUAGCGGUGAAAUGCGUAGAGAUCUGAAGGAAUACCAGUGGCGAAGGCGGCCCCCUGGACAAAGACUGACGCUCAGAUGCGAAAGCGUGGGGAGCAAACAGGAUUAGAUACCCUGGUA